AUCCAGCUGACGAGUGCCAAAUAGGACGAAACGCGCGUCCUGAAU
Molecule: non-coding RNA, 45 nt
Filed under: Schistosoma mattheei
Lineage: Eukaryota; Metazoa; Platyhelminthes; Trematoda; Strigeidida; Schistosomatidae
Source: RNAcentral